UACGUAGGGGGCAAGCGUUGUCCGGAUUUAUUGGGCGUAAAGAGCGUGUAGGCGGUUUGGUAGGUCCGCUGUGAAAACUCGAGGCUCAACCUCGAGAUGUCGGCGGAAACCACUUGGCUAGAGUCCGGAAGAGGAGAGUGGAAUUCCUGGUGUAGCGGUGAAAUGCGCAGAUAUCAGGAAGAACACCUAUGGCGAAGGCAGCUCUCUGGGACGGUACUGACGCUGAGACGCGAAAGCGUGGGGAGCGAACCGG
RNAcentral lists this ribosomal RNA (253 nucleotides) under uncultured bacterium. Its description in RNAcentral is "partial 16S ribosomal RNA". It matches the Rfam family "Bacterial small subunit ribosomal RNA", at positions 524 to 776 of the family's 1533-position model. The record is from RNAcentral.